GGCCAUAAAGCAACAUAUCGUCUUAUGGGGGUUCACAAAAAGGUUCCCAGUUCUUAGAAUUAGAAUUAUAUCGAUCAGAUAAAUUAUUUUAUUCAUCGCCUGCAAGCCAACCAUCUCUAUUUAAAACUGAACCUUUUAUUAGUUCACCAUUUUUCUUCUCGCUAUGAUGCUGACUUAGACUGCUGCCACUUGGUGCUUAGCAGGAGAGGCACAACCCCUGCCACACCGAAGAGAAAGACGAUGGCUUCCAUGAAGAAAUUCGUCAAAGUGACUCCAAUGACCCACAGGUGUGUCAAUCUCUCAAUCUUGAUUUCCUUGUGGGCUGAAAGCUGAGAUGUCAUGUCUUUGUGAGAUGCCAAUGACAUUAUAAUUUGAUGCCUAUAGCAGCUUUUUUAUUUUCAUUGAAAUGAUUUUACACCCUCUGUUAGUAGCAAUUUUCCUUGAUUUUUUAAUGCCACCAAAUUAAAUGCCAUCGUUUCCAGUGUGUGCGUGCUCUAAACAAAUAUAUGAGACACAAAUGCACAUAUGAGUGUUCAUGUCCAAUUGUUAUGACAUGUGCAAUUAUAUUUUGAUCCAAAUUCCUGAACAAGCAUAGGUAUAAAUACUAAUGUCAAUGCAGUUUCGCUCUUCCUAGGACUCCAGCAGCAACGACAUUAUCAAAGGGUCAAGGAGCAGCAAUUUGAUAUGCAUCCGUGACAAUGAAGGUAAAACUUGAAUAUGGCCUCAUGGUCAUGCCUGCAACAUUAUAAGAUUACUUACUCAUAAGCGUAUUUGCUUCAGAGGCUUAUUGUAUUUAUACAGUUUUCUCCACGGCGCGGAAUCGAUGCUGGCGACCCCGCCGUUUCCACACCACCCCGAGGUAUUUCGAUCCUUACCUUGUGCCCCAAGCCCACCGCCUAUUCUCACGUGCAGUAGCCAAAAUUCAUGUGCUUCCCUACUUCAAAUGAAAGGCUCCAUACUACAUAAAUAAACUAAGUCAUGUUCUUUAGAAGUAUAUGCACUCCUGGACUGAAUGUUGAAACUGUGUUGUAUGUCUUCCUUUAACUGCUCUCUGAUCUCAAAUUUCUUUUCAUUGUAGUAACCAUUUGGGACUUGGAUAUGAAGUAUUUUGUCAGGGCAUUUGAAUUUAUUCGGACGUGUUAUGUUAUCGUAUGGUGAACUUAGAUCAACUUAUGCAGACACACAAAAACACAUGCACUUAGACGCAUAUAACUUAGUCAUCACAACAUGAGUUAGGAACAAGUGCAGUGCUGUAAUGUUGAUAUGCAUACAGCGGUCUGCUUGUGUAUCUAAUUUUUUUUGCUGGAUUGUGGUAUUAUGCGGUUUGCCUUUCCUGUUUUUGGACAAUCCUAUUCUAUCAAUUCAUCAGGAAGAUAUAUGCUUUUAUUACCAAGCCCACCGAGCUUUAACUUAGCCCAGCCCAUCUACAGGAGAAGCACAACAGGAAGGGAUAUAGCGCGACAAAUCCUAUUUUACUGUCCCCGUUUCCCGGUUUCCACAUCGCGGCGACUCGAUCCGCUGCUCUCGGGCACGGCGCUCUUGAAUGAGUCAGAUUUAUCGAGGGACAAGACUGGCAAGCGCUCCUCCGUGUCGAUCUUCGACCGAGGUAGGUAAGAUAACCCUUCCCAUCCGUUUCUUUUCUCUUGCUCUCUUCCAAGUUCUGUUACGCUUCUACAGCUAGGUUGUGAGAGCUAGGAAAAGUACAGAGACGUUAAGAACACUAGACGCUCCCAUUCAGUCGACGAUGGAGGUUUUCUUCGUCCUUGCGAUAUCCAACUCCUGUCGCUAAGCAGACCCGCGACACAUCAACUCCUCGCCCCAAACCCCCUCCUCUUGACCAUUUGUGUCUUUAUGUUCUUAUAUUAUGUUAAUAAAACCAUGUACUAAUACUUUCGUUCUGGUAUUGCCAUUGGCAAAAGAAGUUUAAUACACCUGAGCGUUGUUUUGUUCUUGAUCAGAUGUAUGGACGUGCCUAUAGCUAAACAUAAAAAUAGGAUAGACACUAAAUUCCUUAAAGCUGCAGAAAUUGGGAACUACACAGAAGCACACUGGACUAACAGUAUAUUUACUCGAAAGUACAUUUCUACACCCAGGAGCAAAUGCUCCUGGUAUGAAUAGUAAAAUAAAAAAAAAUAAAAAUAUUCAAAAAAAUGCUCCCAUUCAGAAUUUUUUAAAUUAUUUUUGAAUUUAUUUAAUGUUACUGUUCACACCAGGAGCAUUUGCUCCUGGGUGUAGAAACUCCACGUCCUUUAUUUACUAUCAUGUUUUCGUGAAUAGAGUAGUGACAAUAAGAUUUGUACUUGAUGUACAGAGUUUCAAUUCUCACAGUAUAUGAGUUGUAUUUGAUCUUUUAUAUGAUCUCAACUUUACUAUUCCCGGUCAACGUAUGUUUUGCCAGAUUACUAUUAACACAACUUUGUUUCUCCCAGAGCGCUGGUAGCAACCACAUCAUGAAAGGGUUGACGAACGACGAUCCGAUAUGCGUCGCUCACAGCGAAGGUUAAAUUUCAGUGCACUAUCUUGCAGCACGAUCAUUUUGUACUUGCCACCAUUUCUGUGCUAUUUAUGUAACAUCCUAAUUCUCGCUCCCUCUGUCGCUCUAUGAUGGAUGUUUUACUGGAACGCGAUAUUGGAAUGUUUUGUCUGAUUGCUUCUUCAUGUAAUUGUUCUUCUAUUGAUAUUUUAAAGUUUUCCUCUCAUUAAUGAGUGUAGACGGAUCGAUAAAGCAAAUUCUUCGAAUGAACAAGCUAAUCUCAUUUUCCGUUGCAACUAGGAAUUUCUAUGGAUAAUUAUGCUAAUAAAUGAGAACAUGGGUGCAUAUAUGUAGUUUUCAAG
This 2835-nucleotide long non-coding RNA is filed under the name Triticum aestivum (bread wheat). RNAcentral's name for it is "long non-coding RNA (TAES_LNC011344)". The record is from RNAcentral. Lineage: Eukaryota; Viridiplantae; Streptophyta; Magnoliopsida; Poales; Poaceae.